AGAGUUUGAUCCUGGCUCAGGAUGAACGCUGGCGGCGUGCCUAACACAUGCAAGUCGAGCGAUCUUCUUCGGAAGAGAGCGGCGGACGGGUGAGUAACGCGUGGGUAACCUGCCCUGUACACACGGAUAACAUACCGAAAGGUAUGCUAAUACGAGAUAAUAUACUUUUAUCGCAUGGUAGAAGUAUCAAAGCUCCGGCGGUACAGGAUGGACCCGCGUCUGAUUAGCUAGUUGGUAAGGUAACGGCUUACCAAGGCGACGAUCAGUAGCCGACCUGAGAGGGUGAUCGGCCACAUUGGAACUGAGACACGGUCCAAACUCCUACGGGAGGCAGCAGUGGGGAAUAUUGCACAAUGGGCGAAAGCCUGAUGCAGCAACGCCGCGUGAGCGAUGAAGGCCUUCGGGUCGUAAAGCUCUGUCCUCAAGGAAGAUAAUGACGGUACUUGAGGAGGAAGCCCCGGCUAACUACGUGCCAGCAGCCGCGGUAAUACGUAGGGGGCUAGCGUUAUCCGGAAUUACUGGGCGUAAAGGGUGCGUAGGUGGUUUCUUAAGUCAGAGGUGAAAGGCUACGGCUCAACCGUAGUAAGCCUUUGAAACUGGGAAACUUGAGUGCAGGAGAGGAGAGUGGAAUUCCUAGUGUAGCGGUGAAAUGCGUAGAUAUUAGGAGGAACACCAGUUGCGAAGGCGGCUCUCUGGACUGUAACUGACACUGAGGCACGAAAGCGUGGGGAGCAAACAGGAUUAGAUACCCUGGUAGUCCACGCCGUAAACGAUGAGUACUAGCUGUCGGAGGUUACCCCCUUCGGUGGCGCAGCUAACGCAUUAAGUACUCCGCCUGGGAAGUACGCUCGCAAGAGUGAAACUCAAAGGAAUUGACGGGGACCC
RNAcentral lists this ribosomal RNA (885 nucleotides) under uncultured bacterium. RNAcentral describes it as "bacterial SSU rRNA". It matches the Rfam family "Bacterial small subunit ribosomal RNA", at positions 8 to 922 of the family's 1533-position model. The record is from RNAcentral.